UGAGUAAUGUCUGGGAAACUGCCUGAUGGAGGGGGAUAACUACUGGAAACGGUAGCUAAUACCGCAUAACGUCGCAAGACCAAAGAGGGGGACCUUCGGGCCUCUUGCCAUCAGAUGUGCCCAGAUGGGAUUAGCUAGUAGGUGGGGUAACGGCUCACCUAGGCGACGAUCCCUAGCUGGUCUGAGAGGAUGACCAGCCACACUGGAACUGAGACACGGUCCAGACUCCUACGGGAGGCAGCAGUGGGGAAUAUUGCACAAUGGGCGCAAGCCUGAUGCAGCCAUGCCGCGUGUACGAAGAAGGCCUUCGGGUUGUAAAGUACUUUCAGCGGGGAGGAAGGCGAUAAGGUUAAUAACCUUGUCGAUUGACGUUACCCGCAGAAGAAGCACCGGCUAACUCCGUGCCAGCAGCCGCGGUAAUACGGAGGGUGCAAGCGUUAAUCGGAAUUACUGGGCGUAAAGCGCACGCAGGCGGUCUGUCAAGUCGGAUGUGAAAUCCCCGGG
This 504-nucleotide ribosomal RNA is filed under the name uncultured bacterium. RNAcentral describes it as "bacterial SSU rRNA". It matches the Rfam family "Bacterial small subunit ribosomal RNA", at positions 107 to 607 of the family's 1533-position model. The record is from RNAcentral.